CCUACGGGUGGCUGCAGUCGAGAAUCAUGCACAAUGGGGGAAACCCUGAUGGGGCGACGCCGCGUGGGGGAAUGAAGGUCUGCGGAUUGUAAACCCCUGUCAUGGGGGAGCAAAUUAAAAAGAUAGUACCACAAGAGGAAGAGACGGCUAACGCUGAGCCAGCAGCCGCGGUAAUACAGAGGUCUCAAGCGUUGUUCGGAAUCACUGGGCGUAAAGCUUGCGGAGGCUGUUUCGUCAGUCGUGUGUGAAAGGCGCGGGCUCAACCCGCGGACGGCACAUGAGACUGCGAGACUAGAGUACUGGAGUGGGAACCGGAAUUCUCGUUGUCGCCGU
Molecule: ribosomal RNA, 333 nt
Filed under: uncultured bacterium
Lineage: Bacteria
Description: partial 16S ribosomal RNA
Rfam family: Bacterial small subunit ribosomal RNA
Source: RNAcentral